RNAcentral lists this ribosomal RNA (240 nucleotides) under uncultured bacterium. Its description in RNAcentral is "partial 16S ribosomal RNA". It matches the Rfam family "Bacterial small subunit ribosomal RNA", at positions 111 to 334 of the family's 1533-position model. The record is from RNAcentral.
UAACACGUAAACAAACCGCCUUCAGGAUGGGGACAACAGACGGAAACGACUGCUAAUACCGAAUAAGUUCCAAGGGCCGCAUGGCCCAUGGAAGAAAAGGUGGCCUCUACCUGUAAGCUAUCGCCUGAAGAGGGGUUUGCGUCUGAUUAGCUGGUUGGAGGGGUAACGGCCCACCAAGGCGACGAUCAGUAGCCGGUCUGAGAGGAUGAACGGCCACACUGGAACUGAGACACGGUCCAG